AAACUUUCAACAACGGAUCUCUUGGUUCCGGCAUCGAUGAAGAACGCAGCGAAAUGCGAUAAGUAAUGUGAAUUGCAGAAUUCCGUGAAUCAUCGAAUCUUUGAACGCACAUUGCGCCCCCUGGUAUUCCGGGGGGCAUGCCUGUCCGAGCGUCAUUA
RNAcentral lists this ribosomal RNA (158 nucleotides) under Trichocomaceae sp. RNAcentral describes it as "5.8S ribosomal RNA". It matches the Rfam family "5.8S ribosomal RNA". From Rfam's summary of the family: 5.8S ribosomal RNA (5.8S rRNA) is a component of the large subunit of the eukaryotic ribosome. It is transcribed by RNA polymerase I as part of the 45S precursor that also contains 18S and 28S rRNA. Functionally, it is thought that 5.8S rRNA may be involved in ribosome translocation. Lineage: Eukaryota; Fungi; Ascomycota; Eurotiomycetes; Eurotiales; Trichocomaceae. The record is from RNAcentral.